GACGAACGCUGGCGGCGUGCCUAACACAUGCAAGUCAACUUGACGGAAGGAGCAAUCUGACAGUAGAGUGGCGCAAGGGUGCGUAACGCGUAAGUAACUUGCCCCAAGGUAAGGAAUAACGUCGAGAAAUCGGCGCUAAUACCUCAUAAUGCAGCGGAUCCGCAUGGAUAUGUUGUUAAAGGUUUACCGCCUUGGGAUAGGCUUGCGUCUGAUUAGCUAGUUGGUGUGGUAACGGCACACCAAGGCUACGAUCAGUAACUGGUCUGAGAGGAUGAUCAGUCACACUGGAACUGAGACACGAUCCAGACUCCUACGGGAGCAGCAGUGAGGAAUAUUGGGCAAUGCUCGAAAGAGUGACCCAGCAACGCCGCGUGGAGGAUGAAGGUAUUCUAUAUCGUAAACUCCUGUGAGAGCAGACGAAAGACAGAUUAUUAAUCUGGAUGACUGUAUGCUCAGAGGAAGCCCC
Molecule: ribosomal RNA, 466 nt
Filed under: uncultured bacterium
Lineage: Bacteria
Description: bacterial SSU rRNA
Rfam family: Bacterial small subunit ribosomal RNA
Source: RNAcentral